GCUUUUGGUGACGCCACGCGUUCCGGAUUUGCGCGGGUUUCAAUGGCCGCUUGUUGAUGUGCGACGACACUGACUUAAAGAAGAAAAACAAUGCCUCCAAAGAAGAAAGUGAGAAAAAGAACAAUCAAUUCAGAUGGAAAUGCUGAAGACAAGGUCGACUCAUGUCCAAAACCAAGCCUCAAGAGGAAGGCUUCUUCGUCUGUGGAUGCUUCGAAGGAGUCGAGCACCGAGCAGUGUUGUCGCUGGCUCAUGAAAUCUGAACCCGAGAGCCGCUUUCAGAAAGGCAUUGAUGUCAAGUUUGGGAUUGAGGAUUUGAAGGCUUUGCCCAAUCAGACCAGUUGCUGGGACGGCAUCCGCAACUAUCAGGCACGGAACUUCAUGCGUCAAAUGAAAGAGGGGCAGUUGGCUUUCUUCUACCACAGCAACUGCAAGGAACCCGGAAUAGUAGGAAUAAUGAAAAUAGUGAAGGAAGCGUAUGUGGACCACACUCAGUUUGACAAGAAAGAUGUUCAUUUUGAUGCCAGCAGCAAACAAGAAAAUCCCAAAUGGAGCAUGGUGGAUGUGCAGUACCAAAGAAUGCUGAAGCGUUUUCUUCCUCUGGCUGAGCUCAAACAGUACCACUUGCAGCACAGAGCCAAGGGGGGCCCUCUGAAGGACGCCAUGCUCUUGACCAGGAUCAGGCUGUCGGUGCAGGCUCUCACCACUGCACAAUUCGACUUUAUUCUGAGCUUGGAGGACCAAGAACCGCUGUGACUGUGCUCCGUGAUGGGGGAACAUCGACCUUCCCAACAUGGCCCCCCACAUAGGCAUGUCGGUGAGCCGGGCUGCUACAGCGAGGUGGCUUAUAGUCUUCCUAUCUAUGGUCAGAACCGCUACACACAUUUCCAGCUGUGUUAACGCUAAUGACCAGGAAUCCAGUGUAAUGCCCCAGAGGUUGACAGUGGUCGACCAUCCAUCCAUCGAGGCAGGCAGGCAGGUCAUUCCCUGAGAGUGCUGAACAUGACAAGUGGUGACUCAAAUGUGAAUGACUGGGCAAAGUCCAAAAGUGACUUUGAGGCCUCGUCAUGCCCUUGUGCCUAUGCAUAGCGUGUGUCACUCAAGUCUGCCAGUUCCCCAAAGGUUUUAGACGUGCUUGUUACGCACUGCAUCUCGUCACAUCCACUCCAUCUAUAUGGUGUAUACACAUGCAGUAGAGACCUGAUUUAUGUCAUGAAAACCUGAAUCAGAGCGCAUUAAAUAACAUGACUGAUCAAUCUGGGUUUGUGUUGUGUUGAUACAUAACAUUCAAUUUAAGAACAAAAAAUAAAAUAAUAAAUAAAUAAAUGUCCCUAAAAUUGAAUUUGAAUAGCAUACACCCAUAAAUUACACAAAAGUAUUUAACUCACGAAUAUACGAAAUAUGAAUAUGAUAAACCAUGAAUAUAGUAUUUCACAAAGAAAUUUGGAGGGGAGAAAUAUAUCAAUAUAUCAUUAGAAAAUAUACAAAUUCUGAAUAAUAUAAACCAGCAAUAUAUUUAAAAUAUAUUUUA
Molecule: RNA transcript, 1528 nt
Organism: Phycodurus eques (leafy seadragon)
Lineage: Eukaryota; Metazoa; Chordata; Actinopteri; Syngnathiformes; Syngnathidae
Gene: thyn1
Gene name: thymocyte nuclear protein 1
Exons: 10
Source: RefSeq, a predicted model, not a curated record